This is a long non-coding RNA of Chinchilla lanigera (long-tailed chinchilla), 257 nucleotides long. RefSeq lists it as uncharacterized. Lineage: Eukaryota; Metazoa; Chordata; Mammalia; Rodentia; Chinchillidae. The transcript is spliced from 3 exons. The record is from RefSeq and is a predicted model, not a curated record.
CUGGAGCACACAGUGGUGCACCUUGACUCCUUGGAAGGCUGCCUUUAAGGUGAAAGGAGUGUGGGCCUGGAGUUCCCACAGUACCAGGCUGUGGGCCAGGCUGGCAGGAGACAAAGGCAGCCAGCCGGGACUCCCCUGGGAGCUGCAGUUCAGUGUUGAGAGAAGCCUUCUGCGCGGUAACCACUGUGUACUGUCUGGGGAGGGAGGACAAGAAGGACGUCAUUGAUCCACUACAGUCUGAUGAAUGCCACGAGAUG